RNAcentral lists this ribosomal RNA (183 nucleotides) under Escherichia coli. Its description in RNAcentral is "partial 23S ribosomal RNA". It matches the Rfam family "Bacterial large subunit ribosomal RNA", at positions 1 to 176 of the family's 2925-position model. The record is from RNAcentral. Lineage: Bacteria; Pseudomonadati; Pseudomonadota; Gammaproteobacteria; Enterobacterales; Enterobacteriaceae.
GGGUUGUGAGGUUAAGCGACUAAGCGUACACGGUGGAUGCCCUGGCAGUCAGAGGCGAUGAAGGACGUGCUAAUCUGCGAUAAGCGUCGGUAAGGUGAUAUGAACCGUUAUAACCGGCGAUUUCCGAAUGGGGAAACCCAGUGUGUUUCGACACACUAUCAUUAACUGAAUCCAUAGGUAAUG